Molecule: ribosomal RNA, 451 nt
Filed under: uncultured bacterium
Lineage: Bacteria
Description: bacterial SSU rRNA
Rfam family: Bacterial small subunit ribosomal RNA
Source: RNAcentral
GAUGAACGCUAGCUACAGGCUUAACACAUGCAAGUCGAGGGGCAGCAUGGUCUUAGCUUGCUAAGGCCGAUGGCGACCGGCGCACGGGUGAGUAACACGUAUCCAACCUGCUGUCUACUCUUGGACAGCCUUCUGAAAGGAAGAUUAAUACAAGAUGCCAUCAUGAGUCCGCAUGUUCACAUGAUUAAAGGUAUUCCGGUAGACGAUGGGGAUGCGUUCCAUUAGAUAGUAGGCGGGGUAACGGCCCACCUAGUCUUCGAUGGAUAGGGGUUCUGAGAGGAAGGUCCCCCACAUUGGAACUGAGACACGGGUCCAAACUCCUACGGGAGGCAGCAGUGGGGAAUAUUGGGCAAUGGGGGCAACCCUGACCCAGCGACGCCGCGUGGGUGAAGAAAUCCUUCGGGACGUAAAGCCCUGUUGUGUGGGAAGAUAAUGACGGUACCACACGAGG